This is an RNA transcript of Cottoperca gobio, 1662 nucleotides long. It is a transcript of the gene named glucoside xylosyltransferase 1a, with no coding region annotated. Lineage: Eukaryota; Metazoa; Chordata; Actinopteri; Perciformes; Bovichtidae. The record is from RefSeq and is a predicted model, not a curated record. The transcript is spliced from 9 exons.
UCGUUGGUAGCUACCUGGCUGUCUACUCUACACACUUUAACGUGACUGACAGAUGGUUGAUCAAACGAAACACACGUGUUAUAGAUGUGGGUGGGGCGGAAAACUGUAAACACCAACUGCUCUUCGGUUUAGCUUCUGACUUGAUUUAUGAGUUAGAUUAGUUAGCUGGCAGCACAUCAGAUGGUAGCUAAGAUCAACAAAAAUGUUCCGUUAGCGCAUAAAACUUGAAACGCAAAAUGCGAUGCUAUUUUCAAGCAUUUCUCCUGUGCAUGGUCUUCACCUUCUUGUCACUGUUGUAUGUGUUCAAUCAACUGGCCUCCACCUUGGAGGACAGAGACGACUGGAACCUGAAAGAACAGGGGAUACCCGACAGGCGCAGUCAUGGCUCCGGCCACCUUCUCAGGAAAAAGCCAGGUCUGGCAGGCCUUCGAGAUCUUGAAGAAGGGCUUGACAGGUGUAAAUCACUGUCAGUUUCUUACUGGAAUCCAUAUUGGAGACUGCCUGCUGAUGUUUGUGGAGUGAACUGCUUAUUGGAACCAUCUCUUAGCUCUGCAGGCAAGGACCAUAGUGACGAGAGAAGUCACCUGGCUGUGGUUGCCUGUGGACUCAGGUUAGAGGAGACUCUUACCAUGUUGAAGUCAGCUGUUGUCAUCAGCAAAAAGCCUCUGCACUUUUACAUCUUUGCGGAGGAUGAUCUACAUGACGGCUUCAGAAGUGGUCUUGAGUCCUGGCCCAGGACAGCCCGGACCAAGUUUAACUUCACCAUCUACCCCAUCACUUUUCCUAAGGAGAAUGCAAAAGUGUGGAAGAAGCUCUUCAAACCUUGUGCCUCUCAGAGGCUCUUCUUGCCACUGAUCCUGAAGGAGGUGGAUUCUUUGCUCUAUGUGGACACAGAUAUAAUUUUUCUGCAGCCAGUAGAGGACAUCUGGGCCGUUCUUUCUCAGUUCAAUUCGAGCCAUUUAGCUGCCAUGGCUCCGGAGCACGAGGAGCCACGCAUCGGCUGGUACAACCGUUUUGCCCGACAUCCUUACUAUGGCAAGACUGGCAUCAACUCAGGGGUCAUGCUCAUGAACAUGACUCGCCUCAGAGAAAAAUCUUUUAAGAACGACAUGACAACAGUUGCACUGAAGUGGGAGGAAAUUCUGAUGCCCCUUCUCCAGAAGUAUAAACUCAAUAUCACCUGGGGUGACCAGGACCUUCUUAAUAUCAUAUUUCACCAUAACCCAGAAAGCCUAUUUGUGUUCCCCUGCCAGUGGAACUACCGUCCAGACCACUGUAUCUAUGGCAGCAACUGUCAACAGGCUGAUCAAGAAGGUGUCUUCAUUCUCCAUGGUAACAGGGGGGUUUACCAUGAUGACAAGCAGCCUGCAUUUCGAGCGGUCUACGAGGCCAUCCAAAAGCUCCUCAGGCCCCCUCCCACUUUGUUCCCACUCAGUCCUUUGAGGACAGCAUCCUAAAGCCCGGAGCAGGCAAUUCUGGAGGAAACUCUCAUUUCCAUCCCACCAAGAGCUCCUCAGUCAGCCCGGCUCCCAAGUACCCAUUUGGUGAGAACAUGGAGACGUCCCUGCUUCAGCCGCUGGAAGCGUCGCUUCUGACCACAACAAAUACCUACUGUGGAAGAGCCAGUCACCUGUUUACGAAGAAGUUAAAACAGAGCAUCAU